UACAUACUGUGCGAACGUUAUUCGGAUUCACUGGGCUUAAAGGGUGCGUAGGUGGUUUGUUAAGUAGGGUGUGAAAGCCCCCAGCUCAACUGGGGAACUGCACUCUAUACUGGCGAGCUAGAGUGAGAUAGGGGUGUCCGGAACUGCCAGUGGAGCGGUGAAAUGUGUUGAUAUUGGCAGGAACGCCGGUGGCGAAAGCGGGACACUGGGUCUCAACUGACACUGAGGCACGAAAGCCAGGGGAGCGAACGGG
This 253-nucleotide ribosomal RNA is filed under the name uncultured bacterium. Its description in RNAcentral is "partial 16S ribosomal RNA". It matches the Rfam family "Bacterial small subunit ribosomal RNA", at positions 524 to 776 of the family's 1533-position model. The record is from RNAcentral.